UGGAGUUACACUGAAAAGCUUUAAAGUCGAAAGCAAGCAAGCAAGUGAGGAAGGAACUAUACUUCCUUGGCGCCAAAAGCCGUCGAGCUGGCAUGCAAGCAGAUACGAUUUAUCUUCCUUUUCGCUAGCUUGACAGGCCAACACGUGGUUGGGUUUUUUAUCUUUAUUUUGAACUCUUGUUACUUUCCAAGCGCAAUAACAGCCAUGGACGCUCUACCAUAUUAAUAUGGGCUGCUCCCUAACAGGGUUGAACUUUAACUUGGCUCUUCGAAACACAAGGACGAGGAGAAGAUGAUAAAUUGCACCUCUCCCCUGGGCUCCUGAGAGCAGCGAGUGGUUGGCAGCUCUAAAUCACAUUAUAGUUUUCUGUUUUGCUGAAUUAAAUAAAGUCAAACGGGCAUCCUUCAAUUUGAUCGCUUAACCCGGCUAUAACCCAGUAAAGUGCCGAGAGACAGCAUAUAAAGGCCAGGAUGGUUUAUAUCAGCCGUCGGUGUCAGUGCCCGGCGCCUUUCUUCGUCUUUCAAUACGCAGCGUAACUUCUUCCCACUCCACGCGAGGGGAAGAGCUAUAGGUAUCAUUUGUCUGA
This 586-nucleotide small RNA is filed under the name Histoplasma capsulatum var. duboisii H88. Its description in RNAcentral is "Histoplasma capsulatum H88 hypothetical RNA". The record is from RNAcentral. Lineage: Eukaryota; Fungi; Ascomycota; Eurotiomycetes; Onygenales; Ajellomycetaceae.